This is an RNA transcript of Olea europaea var. sylvestris, 3642 nucleotides long. It is a transcript of the gene named protein transport protein Sec24-like CEF, with no coding region annotated. Lineage: Eukaryota; Viridiplantae; Streptophyta; Magnoliopsida; Lamiales; Oleaceae. The record is from RefSeq and is a predicted model, not a curated record. The transcript has 6 exons.
UUUUUUUUUCAAUUCAUUUCAUACCUUUCACCAAGUAUUUAGUUGGAGAUUCCCUCGCUUGACAAAUAGGAUCUCUUUACAAAUACCAAACAGGAAUCAUUUAUGAUACAAGUAGUAAUCAUAGAUAUAUUACCAAUUGGGUUUUUUCUAAACGGAGCCUGGAUACUUCAUUUUUUAGUCCAACCUGGCCAACCAUAAAUUAUUCUAAUUGAUAAUAGUAAUGUGAAUCCCCCCAAACAAUGGAUCUAAUUGUGCUUCACGCUCCAAAUUUUUUAUGAUUCAAUUUAUCUUUCUUGGGACUUAGAAGAAUAAAAUUUCUUAUUUCUUUCGUAUUUCGCAGUGAAAUACCUAAAAAAAUGAAAAAAUCAUGGUCGGGAAGGUUAUAGUAGCCAAAGCCAUUGGAAUUUUUUUUUUUAUGCAUUGGCAAAAUCCGUUUGGUUAUUAAUAGACCUGGAAAGGGAAAAAGAAUAACUGAAAGAAAGGAAAUCAAUUAGUUAUUUGUCAAAGUUUCAUUUAUUCAAUGACCAAAAUUAAACGCGGAUAUAUAGCUCGGAGACGUAGAACAAAAAUUCGUUUAUUUGCCUCAAGCUUUCGAGGGGCUCAUUCAAGACUUACUCGAACUAUUACUCAACAGAAAAUAAGAGUUUUGGUUUCGGUUCAUCCGGAUAGGGAUAAGCAAAAAAGAAAUUUUCAUCGUUUGUGGAUCACUCGGAUAAACGAAGUAAGGAUCACUUAUAGUUGUACACGGAAUCCCUAAUUCAAAUUGAAAUGUACAAUGAUCCAUAAGAUUUUCUUUUUCUUAAAACAGAAAAAAAAGACCCCCUUGUAGCGAGUAUUUCCGAAAAAUACUCAUUUUUUUUUACAAUGGGUUCUAUAUUUCGUAUAUAUAAAAUAAGUUUUUUACUUUUCUUAUUAUUAUAUGUUAAAUGAAACUAUUUUAGUAAAAUUUAAUUGUCUCAAUUCCCAGGGGAUCGCACCAAAAAUUCUAGUUCCUUUUGGAUUUCCUUCUUGAUCAAUUACAACUGCAGCAUUGUCAUCAUAUCGUAUUAUCAUACCGCUGUCACGUUUAAGUUCUUUACAAGUAUGAACAAUUAUAGCUCUAACUACUUUUGAUUUUUCUAGGGGCAUAUUUGGUACUGCUUCUUUGAUCACAGCAACAAUAACGUCACCAAUAUGAGCAUAUCGACGAUUGCUAGCUCCUAUGAUUCGAAUACACAUCAAUUCUCGAGCCCCGCUGUUAUCUGCUACAUUUAAAUGAGUCUGAGGUUGAAUCAAAUCAAUUUUUUAGUCUAUUCUUCCAAUGCAAAGGAUGAAGAAAAAAAUGAAUAUUUUUUGUCCAAAAAAAGAAACUUUCAUCCCCAAGAUUCAUUUCUGUUGGUUCUACAUUUUAUCAUGAAAUAAUGAAUUGAGUUCGUAUAGGCAUUUUGAAUGCUGCUAUUGAAAUAGCCCUUCUAGCUAUAUUUUCGGUUACUCCACCCAUUUCGUAUAGUAUUCGACUUGAUUUAACAACAGCUACCCAAUAUUCAAGGGAUCCCUUUCCCGAACCAUGGAUGAAACUCCACGUGAUCACUGCAACUUAGGUCCAGAUGGCAAGCGUAGAGAUGCUGAUGAAAGGCCUGAGCUGUGCAGAGGGACUGUUGAGUUUGUAGCUUCUAAGGAAUAUAUGAUCAACUAAUGGCAGUCUUCGGACCCUAGAAUCUAGUGGAAGACAGAUUAAAAGGGUCUAAGAUCCAAUGCCUUCUGUAUAUUUCUUCCUUAUUGAUGUAUCCAUGAAUGCCAUACAAACAGACGCAACUGCAGCAACUUGCAGCACAAUUAGCCAAGUUAUAGCUGAUCUUCCUAUUGACUGUGACAAAACAAUGAUGGUAACCCUAAAACACGAUGAUAAAUUGUAGGAUUGGUCAGAAUGUGCUUUCCAGAAGAAUCCAGGUCUCAACCUUGUCUCUGCCUUAUACCACCACUCUGAGUAAUUUGUUUCGGUUUGCUGACCUAGAUACCCUAUCUCCUUGUAUCUUGAAGCAAGUGACCGGAGAAGUUCCUUCAACUCCACUCCCACAAGCCACAGAGCAAGCAAAAAACCUUUGCAUCAACAUUCUGCAUUUAUAUCGCAAGUUCUGCGCGUCAGCUUCUGCACCUGGACAGCUUAUUCUUCCUGAGGCACUUAAAUUGUUACCUUUGUACACCCUUGGUAUAUCUCAUGUUGCUUCGAAAUUUGUACGUAUUGACUGUACACCAUGCAUUUAUCUCUCUGGACUCUGACCUUUGCUGCAGUCGCUCCUACCAAAUAUUUAAUCAUGUUGGCUCAUGCAGUUCGGCAGUUCCAAUUACCUACUCUUGUCAUUUUUAGACAGGACUUUGCUUGUGUUAAUGCAAUUCCAGUUAUCUGUCAAAUUCUCUUAGUGGAGGAACAAAAAUUCUUCUAUAAUUAUUAUCUUGUUUGUGCUUCAAUGAUGGCACCUUGUGUCAUCUAAAAGAACAAAAAGGAGGCCACUUCGCCCAUUAAUAACAGAUGAGACUACUUGUAGGUAAGUCAAUUGAAUCCUCAAGUUUUGUUAUUGAAGCUGCGUAUAUAGAAAGUGAACUUUGGUUUCCUAAAUUUUUAUAUAUUUGAAUUCCUAGAAUUUUUGUAUAAUUAGAGCCAUACUAAAUAGCAAAUUCUGUGACUGUUGGACGUGCAUUAUUUUUCUUUGACUAGGGUUUUCAUAUGGUUUCUAAGAAAUUAUUACUCCAAUUUUUUGCCUAUGUAAUUAUAAUUAGACUUGAUUUUAUGCACAGCAGAGAGUCGUGUCUUCUGGUAUAUUCCCCAUUUUGGGAUUCUGGUAUAUUCCCCAUUUUGGGAUUCUGAUGGAAGAAUUGAUGAUAGGUCAUUUUGGAUCAAUUAUGUUUCCAAUUUAUCUACUCCUUUGACAAUCCCAUUGGUAUACCUUAGGAUGAGAGCUAUUCACAACCUUGAUGAGAAGGUAUGAAUUUGUUCAUGUUGCUCGUUAUAAGUGUUCUUGACGUAUCCCUUGUUUUCUAUCUUAAUGCUGAAUUGUCAGGAGCUGGGUGAUUCCCUCAUUUCCCAAUGGUGAAGAUUGUUUAAUUUAUGUUGGUAGCUCUGUCAAUCCAGAGUAUUCUGACACACAUUCAUGGUUGAACAUUUUUUAUUUUUCUUGACGUACUAGGCAUCUUUAAACUACUUAAAUGAUGUUGAUAUCAUUUGGGAAUAACAUGCAAACAUGUUCCUUUGCCUUGCAAGUUAUCUGGGGAACUUCUCUGCCUAAAGAGUAUUUUUUAGGAACUUAGAUGUUCAACAAUGGUAUUCCCACUUAAUCGUCACCGUAGUACUUAGGGAAAAUGCCUUAAUUUCCAAAUUUUCCCUUUGCAGUAUGUACUGCAGCAAUAUGAUAAUUUAUUGUCACAGAAGCUGAACCUUAUCAAGUAGAUAAGGCGUCAAAGAUGUUCCUACCUACGUUAUGAAAAUGUUGUUCUUUGAAAAUGACCAGGACUACUUCACUGAAUAAAGUAAUUGUUUUUCUACCAGUAAUUUUUUUCCCCUCGAACCGCAGCUUAAAAUUGUGCAGAAAAGGAGAUCCAUCAGGUUAGCGAAUGGAAACCUAUUUAAACUAUCCAAACCGAGGAAAAAUAUGAGGGAAAAAAAAA